Molecule: non-coding RNA, 25 nt
Filed under: Mus musculus (house mouse)
Lineage: Eukaryota; Metazoa; Chordata; Mammalia; Rodentia; Muridae
Source: RNAcentral
UUAAAGUCGGAGUGGGUCAGAGAGG